GCUACNGUAGCCGAAGAGCGGGAGAAUGGGUGAGUGAUGCUUGGGAACAUGCCUUGAGGUGGGGGACAACAGUUGGAAACGACUGCUAAUACCGCAUAAUGUCUACGGACCAAAGGGGGCUUCGGCUCUCGCCUUUAGAUUGGCCCAAGUGGGAUUAGCUAGUUGGUGAGGUAAUGGCUCACCAAGGCGACGAUCCCUAGCUGGUUUGAGAGGAUGAUCAGCCACACUGGGACUGAGACACGGCCCAGACUCCUACGGGAGGCAGCAGUGGGGAAUAUUGCACAAUGGGCGCAAGCCUGAUGCAGCCAUGCCGCGUGUGUGAAGAAGGCCUUCGGGUUGUAAAGCACUUUCAGUCAGGAGGAAAGGUUAGUAGUUAAUACCUGCUAGCUGUGACGUUACUGACAGAAGAAGCACCGGCUAACUCCGUGCCAGCAGCCGCGGUAAUACGGAGGGUGCGAGCGUUAAUCGGAAUUACUGGGCGUAAAGCGUACGCAGGCGGUUUGUUAAGCGAGAUGUGAAAGCCCCGGGCUCAACCUGGGAACUGCAUUUCGAACUGGCAAACUAGAGUGUGAUAGAGGGUGGUAGAAUUUCAGGUGUAGCGGUGAAAUGCGUAGAGAUCUGAAGGAAUACCGAUGGCGAAGGCAGCCACCUGGGUCAACACUGACGCUCAUGUACGAAAGCGUGGGGAGCAAACGGGAUUAGAUACCCCGGUAGUCCACGCCGUAAACGAUGUCUACUAGAAGCUCGGAACCUCGGUUCUGUUUUUCAAAGCUAACGCAUUAAGUAAACCGCCUGGGGAGUACGGCCGCAAGGUUAAAACUCAAAUGAAUUGACGGGGGCCCGCACAAGCGGUGGAGCAUGUGGUUUAAUUCGAUGCAACGCGAAGAACCUUACCUACACUUGACAUACAGAGACUUACCAAAGA
Molecule: ribosomal RNA, 925 nt
Filed under: Pseudoalteromonas sp. TB32
Lineage: Bacteria; Pseudomonadati; Pseudomonadota; Gammaproteobacteria; Alteromonadales; Pseudoalteromonadaceae
Description: bacterial SSU rRNA
Rfam family: Bacterial small subunit ribosomal RNA
Source: RNAcentral